Athene cunicularia (burrowing owl) is the source of this 958-nucleotide long non-coding RNA. RefSeq lists it as uncharacterized. NCBI's taxonomy places the organism in Eukaryota, Metazoa, Chordata, Aves, Strigiformes, Strigidae. The transcript is spliced from 5 exons. The record is from RefSeq and is a predicted model, not a curated record.
CGCCCGCCGUGCGGCCCCUCGGGGCCCGGGCCUGGGAGCUCGGGGUGGGAAUUGCAAGAGUAACCGGUUGCCUUCUGCUUCCUCCCCAGACGCGAAGAGCAGGCUGCGGCAGGUAACCGAGGUAAACGCUGUGGAGGUGGGGCUGUGAAGCCACGACAAGGCCAAAGGCGGGUGAAGAAGGUCAAGCAGAGGAAGGCAGCCAGGACAAAAGGAAACUAUACGGCAGUAUGCUUAAAAGAUCAGAGUUUAACAAGCCUCCACCAGCAGCUUGCCAAAGACUUUUUAAACACUCAUCUCUACGGACCAGACACCAACCGGGCACAGGCAAAUGAUUUUUUUUCCAUUGAAAACAAGAAAAACCCAGUUAAAAAAGCUGCAGUUCAGUUUGUGGACAAAUCUUGGGGGCAAGAAAAAAAGGAGAAAGCAGCAAGAUUUAAGAAACGCUGGCUCUCAACACAGAUUAAAAAUUGAGUAUGGAGACAGGUUUUUCAGAAGAUGCUAUUGAGGACUUUUUUACUGCAUGUUAAGUCUCUGUAUACAACAAAGGUGUUUUUUCCCCACUUUCCCAGCAUGGGUCUGCUUUCAGCUCUAGCCAGCAGCAGGCACUGACCUUCACUCAGCUGGGCCUGAACUGACAUUCCUGUUCUCUUCCCUCCCCCCUUUGUAAGUGGCCAGGGAAGUGAAGCUGCAGCUGUGCCAGGGCAGUGCCUGCCUGUCCCUGAUGCAGAGCAGCUGGUGUUACCACCAGGCUUGUGGAGCUGCCUCCAUGAGGCAGCUCCUUUGCAGACAAUAAAGAAAUACAAUGUUGUACUUACUGUUCUGGAUGGUGGUUUCUUACAGCAAUGCUCCUGCUUUUUCAGUUACUUGUAUCUCUGAAGAAAGGCUGUGUUAGAAUCUUUAAGGCAGCUCAGCCUACAGGGCCCUUCUGUCCAGCCUGAUGAUUACUUUCAGGGAAUAA